AUGGAGCAACGCCGCGUGAGUGAAGAAGGGUUUCGGCUCGUAAAGCUCUGUUGUUAAAGAAGAACGUGGGUGAGAGUAACUGUUCACCCAGUGACGGUAUUUAACCAGAAAGCCACGGCUAACUACGUGCCAGCAGCCGCGGUAAUACGUAGGUGGCAAGCGUUAUCCGGAUUUAUUGGGCGUAAAGCGAGCGCAGGCGGUCUUUUAAGUCUAAUGUGAAAGCCUUCGGCUCAACCGAAGAAGUGCAUUGGAAACUGGGAGACUUGAGUGCAGAAGAGGACAGUGGAACUCCAUGUGUAGCGGUGAAAUGCGUAGAUAUAUGGAAGAACACCAGUGGCGAAGGCGGCUGUCUGGUCUGUAACUGACGCUGAGGCUCGAAAGCAUGGGUAGCGAACAGGAUUAGAUACCCUGGUAGUCCAUGCCGUAAACGAUGAUUACUAAGUGUUGGAGGGUUUCCGCCCUUCAGUGCUGCAGCUAACGCAUUAAGUAAUCCGCCUGGGGAGUACGACCGCAAGGUUGAAACUCAAAAGAAUUGACGGGGGCCCGCACAAGCGGUGGAGCAUGUGGUUUAAUUCGAAGCUACGCGAAGAACCUUACCAGGUCUUGACAUCUUCUGCCAACCUAAGAGAUUAGGCGUUCCCUUCGGGGACAGAAUGACAGGUGGUGCAUGGUUGUCGUCAGCUCGUGUCGUGAGAUGUUGGGUUAAGUCCCGCAACGAGCGCAACCCUUAUUACUAGUUGCCAGCAUUCAGUUGGGCACUCUAGUGAGACUGCCGGUGACAAACCGGAGGAAGGUGGGGACGACGUCAAAUCAUCAUGCCCCUUAUGACCUGGGCUACACACGUGCUACAAUGGAUGGUACAACGAGUCGCGAAACCGCGAGGUUUAGCUAAUCUCUUAAAACCAUUCUCAGUUCGGACUGUAGGCUGCAACUCGCCUACACGAAGUCGGAAUCGCUAGUAAUCGCGGAUCAGCAUGCCGCGGUGAAUACGUUCCCGGGCCUUGUACACACCGCCCGUCACACCAUGAGAGUUUGUAACA
RNAcentral lists this ribosomal RNA (1040 nucleotides) under Pediococcus acidilactici. RNAcentral describes it as "bacterial SSU rRNA". It matches the Rfam family "Bacterial small subunit ribosomal RNA", at positions 386 to 1419 of the family's 1533-position model. Lineage: Bacteria; Bacillati; Bacillota; Bacilli; Lactobacillales; Lactobacillaceae. The record is from RNAcentral.